UCCCAUCAGUGACGAGGGGAAGAAGAGGCUAAGCGGCGACGGCUCUGCCACUCAAAAGCGCACCUGGUUUACCUCAGCGGCUUUUGAUUGGCAGAGACGUCCUUGCUGAGAUAAACCAGGUGUGGCAUUUGAUUAGCAGAGCCGCCGCCGCUCAGCCUCUUCCUCCUGUUGCCGCCGCC
Podarcis lilfordi (Lilford's wall lizard) is the source of this 179-nucleotide non-coding RNA. Lineage: Eukaryota; Metazoa; Chordata; Lepidosauria; Squamata; Lacertidae. The record is from the annotation of a GenBank genome assembly.